This 907-nucleotide ribosomal RNA is filed under the name uncultured Gammaproteobacteria bacterium. Its description in RNAcentral is "partial 16S ribosomal RNA". The stretch from base 1 to 599 matches the Rfam family "Bacterial small subunit ribosomal RNA", at positions 540 to 1533 of the family's 1533-position model. The record is from RNAcentral. Lineage: Bacteria; Pseudomonadati; Pseudomonadota; Gammaproteobacteria.
GGAGUAUCGAUUACUGGGCGUAAGCGCACGCAUUGCGGUUUGUUAAGUCAGAUGUGAAAUCCCCGGCGCUCUCCUGGGAAUUGCAUCUGAUACUGGCUAGCUUGAGCCUCGUAAACGGGGGUAGAAUUCCUUGCGUAUCGGUUGAAAUGCGUAGAGAUCUGGAGUAAUACCGGUGGCGAAGGCGGCCCCCUGGACGAAGACUGACGCUCAGGUGCCAAGGCGCGGGGAGCAAACUGGCAUAUAUACCCUGGUAAUCCACGCCGUAGACGAUGUCGACUUGGAGGUUGUGCCCUUGAGGCGUGGCUACCGGAGCUAACGCGUUAAGUCUACCGCCUGGGGAGUACGGCCGCUUGGUUCAAAUUCUAAUGAUUUGUCGAGGGGUCCGCACAAGCGGUGAGACUUGUGGUUUAUUUCCAUGUUACGCGAAGAACCCUACCUGGUCCUGAUCAUUCAUGGAAAGUUUUUCCACACAUGAGAUUGUUGUCUUCGGGAAACCUGUGACACUGGAGCCUUGUAAUGCGCUGCUCGUCAUGUCCCUUGUCUCUGAUACAUGUUGGGGAAUAUUUUUCCCCGCAUGCUUAGUAGCAAUCCCCUUUAUUCCUAUCUGCUUGUUCUACUAGCCCCCGUGCCGGUCCAACUAUAUAUGGCAGAACUUGCUCCUGUUCAUUAUAUCCUGGCUCCGGAAAGGAUGUGGAUCAUGAAUCGUUUAAUGGGCUUCAUUCGAUCCUCUUUCCAUACUCUGCGGCUUUUCUCUCACCGUGUCUACUUCAUGUGUCUCUAUAGCUAUUUAUGUAAGUUCAACCCUCCUCUUAGCUACUCACACUAUGUUACCCUUCCUAAUAAGUGGCGCUCGUUAACUCCGUGAAGUCGACAUUUCUUGUCUUUUCUAACCUCCCCUGUCUUUUCG